Molecule: long non-coding RNA, 500 nt
Filed under: Capra hircus (goat)
Lineage: Eukaryota; Metazoa; Chordata; Mammalia; Artiodactyla; Bovidae
Description: lncRNA (ENSCHIG00010006327.1)
Source: RNAcentral
CACCUUUGAUAAGAGCAAUCAAUAGCUGGGACCUGGUGCAGGUUCAUAGGAAGGUCAGGCAUGCAAGUAGAGUGUAGAUAAAGCAGGCACUAGUCAAGCAGGGACUGAACAGAGAGCAAGAGAACAGCUGCCUUGAGUGGACUGACCACAAAGCAGGGCACAGGCUGACCUGGCUUUUGCCAAGACCAGCAUCUAUGAAGAGCUUGCAGAAGAUGUAGGCAGGGCACAGCCCUCACACCUUUCUUGUAGAAGAGAGAAUACUUCAUGCUGGGGCUCCUGGGUGGAGGUAGGAGAGCUCUGCCCCCAUCAGCCGCGCCUUAGCUGCUGUAGGAACCGACAAGGUGAGGAAGCCCAGGUGGGCAGAGGAGGAGGGAGGAGAUGGUGGUGUAUUCUCAUCUGCGGGGCCUCCGGGGUUUAACCACUAGGACGCUCCAAGCAAGGCAGAGGGUCACGGGAAAGCCGGCCAACUCCUGAGACCUGUCACUGAGUUGGAGCGCGGU